AACCGCAACUGUUCUAUCGCCGGCCACGCGAGUGGCGGGAGGAAAGUCCGGGCAACACAGGGUCCCAUACUUCCUAACAGGAAGGUGUCCCGCAAGGGGCAACAGAGAGCGCCACAGAAAAGAUACCGCCUGCGCCAACACGGCACCGUUCCGGAGCAGGUAAGGGUGAAAACGCGAGGCAAGAGCUCACGACGCAUGGCAGCGAUGCCUGUGAUGGCAAGCCUUAUGGGUUGAAAGACCAAAUAUACCGGCAGUCAAGGGCUGACCCGUC
This 271-nucleotide RNase P RNA is filed under the name Bacteroidales bacterium. RNAcentral describes it as "partial RNase P RNA component class A". It matches the Rfam family "Bacterial RNase P class A", at positions 1 to 259 of the family's 367-position model. Rfam says of the family: Ribonuclease P (RNase P) is a ubiquitous endoribonuclease, found in archaea, bacteria and eukarya as well as chloroplasts and mitochondria. Its best characterised activity is the generation of mature 5'-ends of tRNAs by cleaving the 5'-leader elements of precursor-tRNAs. The record is from RNAcentral. Lineage: Bacteria; Pseudomonadati; Bacteroidota; Bacteroidia; Bacteroidales.